RNAcentral lists this ribosomal RNA (439 nucleotides) under uncultured bacterium. Its description in RNAcentral is "partial 16S ribosomal RNA". It matches the Rfam family "Bacterial small subunit ribosomal RNA", at positions 339 to 795 of the family's 1533-position model. The record is from RNAcentral.
CUACGGGAGGCAGCAGUGAGGAAUAUUGCACAAUGGGGGGAACCCUGAUGCAGCAACGCCGCGUGGAGGAUGACGCAUUUCGGUGUGUAAACUCCUUUUAUAUGUCAAGAAAAUGACGGUAGCAUAUGAAUAAGCACCGGCUAACUCCGUGCCAGCAGCCGCGGUAAUACGGAGGGUGCAAGCGUUACUCGGAAUCACUGGGCGUAAAGGACGCGUAGGCGGGAUAUCAAGUCAGGUGUGAAAUCCUACAGCUUAACUGUAGAACUGCACUUGAAACUGGUAACCUAGAGUAUGGGAGGGGGAGAUGGAAUUAGUGGUGUAGGGGUAAAAUCCGUAGAUAUCACUAGGAAUACCUAAAGCGAAGGCGAUCUCCUGGAACAUAACUGACGCUAAGGCGUGAAAGCGUGGGGAGCAAACAGGAUUAGAUACCCCGGUAGUC